UCACUCCUACGGGGGGCAGCAGUGAGGAAUAUUGGUCAAUGGGCGAGAGCCUGAACCAGCCAAGUCGCGUGAAGGAUGACGGCCCUAUGGGUUGUAACCUUCUUUUGUCAGGGAGCAAUUGGGUCCACGCGUGGGCUUAGCGAGAGUACCUGAAAAAAAAGCAUCGGCUAACUCCGUGCCAGCAGCCGCGGUAAUACGGAGGAUGCGAGCGUUAUCCGGAUUUAUUGGGUUUAAAGGGUGCGUGGGCGGA
Molecule: ribosomal RNA, 250 nt
Filed under: uncultured bacterium
Lineage: Bacteria
Description: partial 16S ribosomal RNA
Rfam family: Bacterial small subunit ribosomal RNA
Source: RNAcentral